RNAcentral lists this long non-coding RNA (2985 nucleotides) under Marmota monax (woodchuck). Lineage: Eukaryota; Metazoa; Chordata; Mammalia; Rodentia; Sciuridae. The record is from RNAcentral.
GGCCGGGUGCCCGGGAAGUGGGAGCGGGCGCAGCCCUGCGAGAAGGGUCCUGAAGUGCGACCCUUGCGUGGUGGACACGAAGUAGGGUCAGACACUCACGAGGGAUCUGGGGGUCCCGGCCCCUGCGCAGUGAGCGGAGGUGUGCAUGCGUCCUACCACUGGGUACGGUGGUGGGCACGAAGUGCAGUGGGACUGCCACACCGUAUUGUCUUGCGCAGCUACCGGUCCUGGCAGCCCGACCCUGCCGCCAAGUGCGAGCCAGUACUGCGGAGGCCCAGCAGGACUUGAGAGCUGCAGAAGGCAAGGGGAGAAGCGGGGGCCCAGAACAGCCUGGAGAUGGUUUGCCCCUGGGUGCCCACCUGGCUGCCUGGGUCGCUCCUCUGCAAGGCCUGGCCCUUGCCCCACUGGUGCCAGCUAGUUAUGUGGACUGCAGUGGACAUCAGUAUUGUGUCACCUGGGGACACAGGGAAUGUGGAACGAGGGAGGACGCCGGGGCCCAAGAAGGAGAAGGAAAUGACUUGGCCUCAGCCUGGAGUGAGGCAGGGGCGUAUCGAGGAAUUAGGAAAGGGCUUGGUUCUGGUGGUGUUACCGCUGUUGACCGGUGACGAGUUCUUGCUUCCCCAAUGUUGAAGAAUAACACCAAGAAGCACCGAGGCAAGGUCAGAGUGAAAUUAGAAGUUUAUUAAAGGACAGCAGAAAAGACUUCUCCCGGAGGAAGAAGGGGACCCAAGAGGUGGAAUCCGUGGAAGUGCGGUUGUUUCCCCUUUUUAUAGUUUUGGUGAUGGAAUGUAGGUGGAAGGCCCCAGGGGUGGGACACAGGUGGGCAAAGAAGUAGUCUGAGCAGGAAGGACUUCAUUAACACUUCUUUGGGAUGGAUUUUGGCCUAGGGCCUUUUCAGGACUUCAUUAACAUUCCAUGAGCUGUCCUGCGUUUCCUGGAAUCAUUCUCAGCAUGGCCUCCAUUUUAGAUUUCACUCGGUAUUAGACCCGAUUUAUCUAACUACACUGACUGCCUCACUUUAAAUCUGGCUUCAGUGGGAUCUGGGUAUAGGAGUUGGUUAGACUCACCAUGGGGGAAGGGAAGGGGCCUGCUAUAUUUGGACAGAUACACGCUGGGAGCUGCCUGGGCUAGCGUCUCAGAAAGAUCCAGCCUCCCCCUCACCCUCUAGGGCUGCUCCUCGGUGGACACUGGUCUGGUCCACUCCAAGGUGCUGCCUCACUGUCCCAGCAGAAGCAGCCCUGAGGGGAGGCGAAGGGGGGCAUCUGAUGCUGCAACUUUCGGAAGGUGGGGAGUCAGUGCAGUUGGCCUGAGCUGGGGAGGGACAGACUCCCUUGAUUAUUGAGUGAGGAUUCCAUCCGUGUAAAAAUGGAGAUCUCCUCUGUGUAGAAGACAAAGCAUCGGCUGGAGAUGUGGCUCAAGCGGUAGCGCCUGCCUGGCAUGUGUGCGGCCCGGGUUCGAUCCUCAGCACCACAUACAAACAAAGAUGUUGUGUCGGCCAAAAACAAAAAAAAUAAUAAAUAUUAAAAUUCUCAAAAAAAAAAAGCAUCAAAAAAUAGGUAGCCAAGGACAGAGGCAGGGAGGUUUGUCCCAUGGAGAUUUCCUUGUGUCUGAUCCUCCCUCUCUGUUGGACCCGGGUUAGGUUAUCAGUGCCCUCCUUUUACAAUGAGGACUAAAUUAUGGAAACAAAGGCCACCCCAUGAGAACCAACACUUAGAAAGCGGGUCUAGUAAAGGCUUGCUGGGCAAGGGGCUGAUGGCCCUCAGCAGAGAUUGAAGGUAGGCAGGGGAAGGGCCUCACUGUGGACAAAGUGAGGCGCGGCUGUGUCUUGGUGGUGCUCACUAGAAGAGGCUCUAUGCACUUGACUUAAGGGGCAUAUUUGAGGUGGCUGGUCAGUCCUAAGUUGGAAGUGGAGACAGACAUUAAGAAGCAGCUGUCCUGGCCUAUCUGGGCCAAGAGCAGCACAUAACUGACCCAGGGUCUGGCCUGCUGGCAACUCAAAGCCACUCCUGGAGAAGCAAGCAUUGGUAGGAGGGAAUUAGGUUUAUUUAAGGGUGGGCACCUUGGGAGAUGGAGGGGCUAUCAUUCUCAAGGUUCAGUCUUGGGGGCUCAGGGGUGCACAGGGCUUUUAUAGGGAGAGUAUGGAGUGUGGGUCUCCUCCUUAAUUGGUUAGAAUGGCUUGAUGGAUCUUGACCUCCUGGGGCUGGUUUCUGUAGUUUAUUUUUGGUGCUUGUGAUUGAACCCAGGAUGCUUUACCACUGAGCUACAUCCUCAGGCCUUGGUAUUUAUUUAUUUAUUUUGGUACAAGGGAUUAAGCCCAGAGGUGCUUAACCACUGAGCCACAUCCCCAGCACUUAAAAUUUUUUUUUUUUUUUUUAGUUAUAGGUGGACACAAUACCUUUGUUUAUUUUCAUGUGGUGCCAGGGAUUGAACCCAGUGCCUCAUACAUGCUAGGCAAGCACUUUAUCACUAAGUCACCACCCCAGCUUUAUCCCCAGCACUUUUUAUUUUGAGACAGGGUCUCACUAAGUUGCUUAGGGCCUAAAUUGCUGGGGCUGGCCUCGAACUUGUGAUCUUCCUGCCUCAACCUCCUGAGCUGCUGGGAUUUCAAGGGUGCACCACCACACCUGGCUUGUUUUGUUUGUUUGUUCCUGUGAUGCUGGGGACUGAACCCAGGGCCUCACAUAUGCUAGGCAUGUGCUCUACUCCUUUGAGGCGGGUCUAAGUCGCCUCCUCCUGCCUGGCCUGCUGGGUAGCUGGGAUCACAGGCCUGCACAGCUGGCUGUGGAGUACUUCAGACAGAUUGCUUUCUUGCAGGUUACACCUCAGAGCAGUUGACACAAAGCUAAAGACUUAGGAAGGGCGCUAGGAAAGUUACCGGAGGCUCUGGUCUCCAUAAGUCUAGAAGUUAUGGAACAGUUAACAUCAUAACCAUUUAGGUGGGGCUUCUUUUUGGAGCUUGGAACUCAGGGCUGAGGGGCGGGGGCA